Long non-coding RNA from Planococcus citri (citrus mealybug), 1487 nucleotides. RefSeq lists it as uncharacterized. Lineage: Eukaryota; Metazoa; Arthropoda; Insecta; Hemiptera; Pseudococcidae. The record is from RefSeq and is a predicted model, not a curated record. The transcript has 5 exons.
AAUGCGCUGCGGUUAGACCGUUAGUUGACUGAACGUGAAGGAAUAGGAACGAUAUUGGGAGGGGUGGAAACCAUUUGUUUUCAAUAAUGAUGUACAUAGUGUUGGGUAUUUAUUUAUUAUUUUUUUGAAUAUGUUAUAGGUUAUUUGUUUUCAUUCGUGUUGAAGAAACAUUGAUGGAAUGGAAGAUAUCGUUUAGAGCAAAGAAUCGAAGAAUUGUUAUUAGAUAGUCCAUUUUCAACCUGUUUACCGGUAUAAUUGCUGAAAGAAUAACUGAAUAGCUGCUUGAUUAUGACAACACGCGAGCUUGUAUAAUUAUUACCUACUAUGGAUUUUGCUGUACAUAUAAUACUCCACGUCCACGUCGUCCUAAUCGUAUUGCCCACGUUAUGCUCGAGUAUACAAGCACAUACACUCUGCAGCAAAAGCACUCGAAAGAAUUUUACAUCGCCUGGCUGAGGGAUCGAGAACUCGCUUCUAAUUGAAAUGUUGGCGAAUAAACGAUGGAAAGAUGAACUUAUCAAUAUAUCAAUCAUGAUUCAACCACUUGAGAAUCAUCAUCUGAUGAGGUGAUGACUUUUCCAUUCAUAUGUCAAAUUUUGGCUGAGAAAAUGCGAUCGAAAGGAUUACAUUGUCAUGACAGUAGUUGUUGGAAUAAAAUUCACAAUACGUUGCCGAUUGGAAUGGUUAAAUUACCGAAAAACUCUUUCGAUUCGGUUAGCAUCGAUAUGCGAUUAUACACAGAUCGACGACGACGGUGAAAUGAGGAAAUAAAAUGGCGGAACGAUCAUAAGAGCUGACGUAAAGGAAAUAAGAAGUGUAAAAAAACUACGGUAAUGGUUGUGUGUGUUGUGUCGAUCGACGUCGUCGGCGAUGCCGCGGUGCUUGGAAGAGAAAAACUUCGGUAGCAAGUUGUACCCGUACCUACACAGCUCGCAGAAUGUUGGAAUGGAUAACUACGAGUACUAGCUGGUGUAUUUUCCGAGCAGCGUGAGCCGAUGCCGAAGACGAACAAGCUGCCAUGUUGGAAUCUCUGCGACUCUGUGGUUGCACAAGCAAGUUACCAUCGACAUAGAGCGAAGCCGCAGAGCAUGAAGAGUUGGUAGCUCCUCGGGAGGACUGUCAUCACAGGAGCAAAAAGCUGUAUAUGUAUUGUUUAUAUUAUUUGUAUUUCCUUUCGGUACGUUAUUUCGGGAGGAGAUGCAGAUGAAUUUGAAUAAAGAAGGGUCAUUCCAUGCCAAAUCGGCGGAUUUUUGCACGAGGGUCUUCGAUUUUUUUCAAAAUCAGAUCAUGUGUAGAGAUCAUCAAACGAUAACGAAUGACGCAAGCCGGACAUUUUUUCGAUUUUUUUUUUUUUGGCGGAGCUGUGGGGCUUCAAAGUUUUUCAAAAUGGCCGAAAAUGAAAAAUUUCAGUUGCAAAUUUGCUUCGGUUGUGCGUGGUAUACAAUUUUGAUUUUUUUUUCAAAUUGCAGUACUUUGAGAGGGUAAUU